CAGGUCACUCCUACGGGAGGCAGCAGUGAGGAAUCUUGCGCAAUGGGGGAAACCCUGAUGCAGCGACGCCGCGUGAGCGAUGAAGCCCUUCGGGGUGUAAAGCUCUUUCGGCAGGGAAGAUAAUGACGGUACCCGAAGAAGAAGCUGCGGCUAACUACGUGCCAGCAGCCGCGGUAAUACGUAGGCAGCAAGCGUUGUUCGGAAUUACUGGGCGUAAAGAGUGUGUAGGCGGUGCUCCAAGUCUGGUGUGAAAUCUCCCGGCUUAACUGGGAGGGUGCGCCGGAAACUGGAAUGCUCGAGUAUGGGAGAGGUAAGCGGAAUUCCUGGUGUAGCGGUGAAAUGCGUAGAUAUCAGGAGGAACACCUGUGGUGUAGACAGCUUACUGGACCAUUUCUGACGCUGAGACACGAAAGCGUGGGUAGCAAACAGGAUUAGAUACCCUGGUAGUCCACGCCCUAAACGAUGCAUACUUGGUGUGAGCGAUUCAUUUCGUUCGUGCCGGAGCUAACGCGUUAAGUAUGCCGCCUGGGGAGUACGGUCGCAAGGCUGAAACUUAAAGGAAUUGACG
This 568-nucleotide ribosomal RNA is filed under the name uncultured Acidobacteriota bacterium. RNAcentral's name for it is "bacterial SSU rRNA". It matches the Rfam family "Bacterial small subunit ribosomal RNA", at positions 329 to 915 of the family's 1533-position model. Lineage: Bacteria; Pseudomonadati; Acidobacteriota. The record is from RNAcentral.